RNAcentral lists this ribosomal RNA (505 nucleotides) under Mediodactylus kotschyi (Kotschy's gecko). RNAcentral describes it as "LSU rRNA". It matches the Rfam family "Bacterial large subunit ribosomal RNA", at positions 1800 to 2545 of the family's 2925-position model. The record is from RNAcentral. Lineage: Eukaryota; Metazoa; Chordata; Lepidosauria; Squamata; Gekkonidae.
CUGUUUAUCAAAAACAUCGCCUUUAGCCCCACAAGUAUUAAAGGUCCCGCCUGCCCAGUGAAUAUAUUUUUUAACGGCCGCGGUAUCCUAACCGUGCAAAGGUAGCGUAAUCACUUGUCCUCUAAUUAAGGACCCGUAUGAACGGCUAACUGAGGGCGCCCCUGUCUCCUGACGCCAACUAAUGAAACUGAUCUGCUGGUACAAAAGCCAGAAUACCCCCACAAGACGAGAAGACCCUGUGGAGCUUAUAACCUCACCGCUAAUUAAAUACCCACACAUUUUUAACCUAGCCCGCGGUUUAAGUUGGGGCGACUACGGAGUAAAACAAACCCUCCAAGAAAUAAAGGACUAACCCCCUGCUACCAGGCACACGCGCCAAUAAGACACCAACAAGACCCAGUACAACUGACCAUCGAACCAAGUUACCCCAGGGAUAACAGCGCCAUCCCCCUAUAGAGUCCAUAUCACCAGGGGGGUUUACGACCUCGAUGUUGGAUCAGGACAC